GAUGAACGCUGGCGGCGUGCCUAAUACAUGCAAGUCGAGCGAACAGACGAGGAGCUUGCUCCUCUGACGUUAGCGGCGGACGGGUGAGUAACACGUGGAUAACCUACCUAUAAGACUGGGAUAACUUCGGGAAACCGGAGCUAAUACCGGAUAAUAUAUUGAACCGCAUGGUUCAAUAGUGAAAGACGGUUUUGCUGUCACUUAUAGAUGGAUCCGCGCCGCAUUAGCUAGUUGGUAAGGUAACGGCUUACCAAGGCGACGAUGCGUAGCCGACCUGAGAGGGGUAUGCGCCACCUGGAAAGUGAACACCGGCCCAGACCCCUAGGGGGGGCAGGGGGGGGAACUUUGCCGAAAGGGGGGAAAGCCUGCGGGAGAACCGCGGGGUGGGUGAGAAAGUGUUUCGGUUCGAAAAACCUUGUUUUUGGGAAAAAAAAAAUGGGAAAGUAACUAUGCCCGUCUGGAGGGAACCAAACAAGAAAGCCAGGGUAAACUACGG
Molecule: ribosomal RNA, 496 nt
Filed under: uncultured bacterium
Lineage: Bacteria
Description: partial 16S ribosomal RNA
Rfam family: Bacterial small subunit ribosomal RNA
Source: RNAcentral